AUGCCUAACCCCAGAGAAGUUGAUUGUGCUCUUUUCGUUGAACAUGUUAAACUCAAGAAGUGUGGUGUGGCUGUUAAAUUUUCCCCCUGGUCUGAGGAUAUUGAUUCUGAAGGGCUCCUAGAGGUUGCUUGGGUGAGGAUUGGGAAAAUCCCUCCUAAUAAACGUUGUGAUAAGACUGUAGCUUAUGUGGGGGGACUUGUGGGUAUAACCCUGGAGGUUGAUAUGUCUACUUUGAAUCGCCCGUCUUCUGUGAGAGCUAAAAUAGGAUGUCGAUCAGUGAAACAACUCCCUAACACAGGUGAAGGAGUGUUGGGGGGCGUUUCUAUAAGUUUACUUUUGAGGUGGAGGAAAUCCUGGUGGUUAAUGUUGUUGACAAAGAGGUCGUGCGUGUUAAGGCCAAUGACAACCCCCCUAAGCCUGAUCAGACUCCUAAGCGCAAGCGUGCUGAUCAGGGGGUGGAUGAGGAAUAAUAUAAUUUGA
This 480-nucleotide ribosomal RNA is filed under the name Triticum aestivum (bread wheat). Its description in RNAcentral is "partial small subunit ribosomal RNA". The record is from RNAcentral. Lineage: Eukaryota; Viridiplantae; Streptophyta; Magnoliopsida; Poales; Poaceae.